This 446-nucleotide ribosomal RNA is filed under the name uncultured bacterium. RNAcentral describes it as "partial 16S ribosomal RNA". It matches the Rfam family "Bacterial small subunit ribosomal RNA", at positions 338 to 795 of the family's 1533-position model. The record is from RNAcentral.
CCUACGGGGGGCUGCAGUCGAGAAUCAUUCACAAUGGGGGAAACCCUGAUGGUGCGACGCCGCGUGGGGGAAUGAAGGUCUUCGGAUUGUAAACCCCUGUCAUGUGGGAGCAAAUUAAAAAGAUAGUACCACAAGAGGAAGAGACGGCUAACUCUGUGCCAGCAGCCGCGGUAAUACAGAGGUCUCAAGCGUUGUUCGGAAUCACUGGGCGUAAAGCGUUCGUAGGCUGUUUCGUAAUGCGUGUGAGAAAGGCGAGGGCUCAACCCGCGGACGGCACAUGAUACUGCGAGAAUAGAGUAAUGGAGGGGGAACCGGAAUUCUCGGUGUAGCAGUGAAAUGCGUAGAUAUCGAGAGGAACACUCGUGGCGAAGGCGGGUUCCUGGACAUUAACUGACGCUGAGGCACGAAGGCCAGGGGAGCGAAAGGGAUUAGAUACCCCAGUAGUC